AUACGUAGGGUGCGAGCGUUGUCCGGAAUUACUGGGCGUAAAGAGCUCGUAGGUGGUUUGUCGCGUCGUCUGUGAAAUUCCGGGGCUUAACUCCGGGCGUGCAGGCGAUACGGGCAUAACUUGAGUACUGUAGGGGAGACUGGAAUUCCUGGUGUAGCGGUGAAAUGCGCAGAUAUCAGGAGGAACACCGGUGGCGAAGGCGGGUCUCUGGGCAGUAACUGACGCUGAGAAGCGAAAGCAUGGGUAGCGACCAGGAUUAGAUACCCUGGUAGUCCAUGCCGUAAACGGUUGGCGCUAGGUGUAGGGGUCUUCCACGACUUCUGUGCCGUAGCUAACGCAUUAAGCGCCCCGCCUGGGGAGUACGGCCGCAAGGCUAAAACUCAAAGGAAUUGACGGGG
RNAcentral lists this ribosomal RNA (398 nucleotides) under uncultured bacterium. Its description in RNAcentral is "partial 16S ribosomal RNA". It matches the Rfam family "Bacterial small subunit ribosomal RNA", at positions 523 to 918 of the family's 1533-position model. The record is from RNAcentral.